RNAcentral lists this transfer RNA (69 nucleotides) under Rhizophagus aeneus. RNAcentral describes it as "tRNA-Gln". Lineage: Eukaryota; Metazoa; Arthropoda; Insecta; Coleoptera; Monotomidae. The record is from RNAcentral.
UAUAUUUUAGUAUAUGAGGUACAUAGAAUUUUGAUUUCUAUAGAAUUAGUUUAAUUCUAAUAAAUAUAA